AUAGCCUCGUGGGGGAGUCCGGUUUCGUGCUCGCAAGGAGGCACUUUGGGGAUUUUGGUUGGUUGGUUGGGCUUUUAUUUAUUUAUUUUUUUUUGAGACAGCGUUUAACUCUUUAUCCUCGGCUGGCCUAGAACUCGUGGCAGCCUUUCCGCUCCAGCCUCCCAAGUGCUGAUAUUACAGACGCGAGCCGCCAUGCCCAUUUGACAAGCUAGCCCUUGGAAUUUUCCUGACCAGUUCUGUCAAAAUCACCUGAGGCCUCAUGAAUGUGCCUGUAAAAGACCACAGAGGAGGGUGUCAGAUCUUCUGGAACUGAGGUUACAGGUGGGUGAGCGCUACCCUGUGGGGGCUGAGAGCAGCAAGACACUUAGCCGCUGAGCCAUCUCUCCAGGCCCAAGGGGAAAUUCUGGAGCGCCAUCUCGUGGCCAUCCCAGUUCAGUGGGCGGGCACUAACCCAUCCUUGGGUCAAAGGACUCUUUCCUGUUUGUGUGGUCAGCUGAUGUUUCUGCUGAGAGUGCCCAAAGCUUCUGAGCCUCCUCUGGGGCCAAGUCCAGCCACCAAAGUGGGAAUUCCUUGGAAUCAAUAAAGUCCUUUCUUUCUUGUGAGGGAAGGCUAGUUCAUAUCUUCGGACCACACACAGGUUGAACCUGAGAAAGCACAAAUGCCCCUGACUAUGCCUGGACCACAAGGAGUCCAGGGAAGACUGAGUGCUGCUAAGGCCCUGAAGUUGUGAGUUCUUCUAUGGUCUCCUUCUCCCCAGAUGUUGCAAGAACCAGUUAUUCUUUUGUUGUUGUUGUUUUGAUUUUCGAGAUAGGGUUUCUCUGUGUAGCCCUGGCUGUCCUGGAACUUACCAUAUAGACCAGGCUGGCCUCAAACUCAGAGAUCCUCCUGCCUCUGCCUCUGAGUGCUGAGAUUAAAGGCGUGCACCACCACUGCCGAACCCAAAGUUACAUUCUUUAAGAUUUAUUAUAUUUUUGGUUUUUUUGUUUGGUUGGUUUUGUUUUGUUUUGUUUUUUCGAGACAGGGUUUCUCUGUGUAACAGCUCUGGCUGUCCUGAAAUUAGUUCUGUAGACCAGGCUGGCCUCAGACUCAUGUAGAUCUGCCCACCUCUGCCUCCCAAGUGCUGGGAUUAAAGGUAUGUGCCACCACUGCCUGUCUUGGUUCCCUCCUUAACUAUGUAGGACCUGGGGACUGAACUUAGGGCCUCAAGCUUGGUGACAAAGUGUGCCUUUACCUACAACUAUCUUGUGACUUUUUUUAAGAUGUAUGUAUGUUUGUUUGUUUGUUUGUUUAUUUAUUUAUUUAUUUAUUUUUGUAUGAGUGUUUUGCCUGCAUGUAUGUAUGUGUAUCAUGUGCAUGCCUGAUG
This is a long non-coding RNA of Peromyscus californicus insignis, 1363 nucleotides long. RefSeq lists it as uncharacterized. The record is from RefSeq and is a predicted model, not a curated record. The transcript has 3 exons. NCBI's taxonomy places the organism in Eukaryota, Metazoa, Chordata, Mammalia, Rodentia, Cricetidae.